AGCGGAGGAGACAGCAGUAUGCCUCAAAAAUCAGGCAGCCAAAAAAGAAAGGAAAAUAAAAUAAGAGAGGAGAAGGAGUUGAAGGCUCGACAAUAUGUCACCCAAUAUUUCCAAAAAAAAGAGUCAAGUGCACCAGCAGCAGCAGCAGCUGUCUGUCAGCCCCCAAGUCCCCCUGCCCCUGAAUCAGCCCCAGUGCCCCCACAUGAGGAAGGAGGUUUCUCAGACACCCUUUUAAGCACAACCUAUCCAAAUAAAGAAGAGAUAAAGCAUGCGAUGAGAUGCUGCUGAUGGAGAAGCUUUACCAGGUGUGACAGGUGAUGACCUACCUGCCUUCAACAGGUUUUAAACGCUGGAUGUGAAAAUGUGAGCUAGAUCAAUGAGUGUAUCAGUCAUUUAGGAUGAAACACUCUUUGAGACCGGAGAUAGGCUAAGCAAACACAUUCCCAUCCGCUAGUGAAAAUGGAUACGCUGUUGACCUGUCCGCUCACACAAAAGCCUUUCCCAAAGCUCAGAAUCCUGGUGUUUACCCUCAGAGCUGGGGGAUUAGAAGAUCAACACCACUGGCAGAUGAGGGGGACUUCUCAUUCCCAGAACCACCCCAACUUUGAUGCCCUUGAGGGUGCCAUUGAAGCUAGAACCGCUACUGGCCUCAACGUUUAGUAAUUGUUGUGCAAGUGUAAAAAUAAGCUAACCACAAUAAUAUUUAUCUAUCCAUCUGUCCAUCAACAAAUGACUUCAUUGUAUUUCAGACAGUGCGGUUGACGGAGGAAGGCACAAGUGAUGUAAUCCUAAAAGUGUUGAAGCUGGGUCGUUUUAAAUGAGUUUGUCAUCCCACCAUGGUUGGCCAUGAAUGACCUCACCAGCCAUGCUGCUGUAAUAAACUAAAGCAAUAAGAAUGUGCAGGAGGGAAAACAGUGCCUGCAGAGAGCUACUGAGAAGCGGAGAAAAACACAAAAUGUCUCCUGAUGAAUAUCAAUUGAUGUCGCUCGGUUGCGUACACGUACACACACGCACACACACACACACACACACACACACACACACACUGACCAUUUGCAGUGUGCUGUGAAAAGAGACUUCCAUAUGUACUUGUACAUUCUGCGGCCCU
Long non-coding RNA from Entelurus aequoreus (snake pipefish), 1108 nucleotides. RefSeq lists it as uncharacterized. NCBI's taxonomy places the organism in Eukaryota, Metazoa, Chordata, Actinopteri, Syngnathiformes, Syngnathidae. The record is from RefSeq and is a predicted model, not a curated record. The transcript has 6 exons.